This 20369-nucleotide long non-coding RNA is filed under the name Mytilus galloprovincialis (Mediterranean mussel). The record is from RNAcentral. Lineage: Eukaryota; Metazoa; Mollusca; Bivalvia; Mytilida; Mytilidae.
GUUAUGUUUGGGACUUGGUUUUAAGAAAUGAUGUCAAAGUAACAUUAUGAAAAUAUUUUUAGUAAGCUGAAAUAUAUAUUUAUUUUUUACUGACAUGUUUAUGUCUUGUAAGAUAUCUUACUUCUGUCCCGUUUUUCAACAUUUGCGUCUGGAAAGUUGAAAUGUUUAAACUGAAUGGUUAAUUUAAAUUAAUUAUGAAAAUUGUUAAAAUUAAAUCAAUAAAGGAAAUUAUUGCCCAGUUACAAACACUACCAGGGGAUAAUCCAUAAUGAUUUUUUUUAGUUAUAUGUUUCAGCACAUGUAUAAUUAACCCCAACUUUAGCCUGGUAAACUUGUGGUCUCCUUGUGAAAUAUAAAACAUAUAAAAAUGAUUUCCUGCUAAAGUCUUUUAUUGAUAUAAAGUUAAAACCUUCUUACUCUCCUAGACAUCACUCAGUCCUGUCAGGUUUAAUCUAUAUAUGUGGAUGAAAAAUAAAAGUCAAAACAUUAACAUGCAGCAAUUGCUUUACAGCUUUAAGCUUGAUUUCUUUUUACAGAAGAGUGUCCACCAGCACUUGCACUGCCUAUAAUAAUAGUAGAAUAGAAUAUCUAUACAAAUAGAUGAAAUUAUAUAUACAUGCAAUCGUUAUAUAAUAUAAUAACAACAACAGUGUAUUCUCUACGAUAUUAUUAUAAGUAUAAUAGUCCAGUAUCUGAUUUCUUGCACUACAAAUAUAGUUAUACGGUGAGGUGAAUUCCUGUCAUUUAUUCAUCAUCCAAGCACGAACUUGUUUCAGAAAAAAAUAUCUUUUUCAAUUAACCUCAGUUUCGGAUAUAGAGAUGUGGUCUGUUUCUGUGACUGUUUUUACCAUCCACAAGAACUGCGGUCAUCCCAUGUUCAGUACUUCAGAAUUUGGCCCAUCAGAUGGAAUGGUUUUAUCUACUGCUCUUGCCAACCAAAUGAAGGUUGUUUGAAAAGUACCUUCAAAGCAUCAUUCCUGCUAACUUUAACUAAAAUUGGCAAUGAAGUUUUUAGAGAAAAUGAUGAUAAUAUUCCUUAUAGAGUUUGAAUGGGAAGUAUUUGUCACUAUGUUUGCAACAAAAUCAACAACAAAUGAGGUUGGUGUUGUAAAAUACUUUACUUUCUUUUAUUAUAGACAUUUUCGUAUAGUUGUUGAAUGUCUUAACGUCGUUUACUGCGGUAAUUACAUAACUGUAUAUAUUCGACGUCGCUACUUAGCGACGAUGAGUAGCGACGAUGUUGUAUUCAUAUGUAGUUUAGAUAAAGAUUUUGUUCUAUGAAGACAUUCUUCAUUAUUUCGUUAGAAUAUAUGUCAAAGUUGGUUUGUAGAGGGUCCUAAAAUCAUCAAAACCACAAAUAUUAAAGCGUUUCUUUGCAGUUUCAGAGAAGAUUUUAUGAGUCUAUCUUAAAUUUCAGUACAAUAAAAAUAGAUUGUUUGAGUUUGAAAAUAUAAACAAGUUGUCUACAAAACAGGAAACUUAGUGGGCUCCACUUUUCUUCCUGUUUGUAAGUCUAGCACAAAUAAAUGAUGUAUUUCUAACACCUUCAUAUAUUGUAUAUUUUAUAUAAAUGUAUCAAAUAAAAAAUGUGUAAAACACAAAAGAAAGAUUAACUUAUUCAUAAAGAUAACUUUUGAAAAUACAAUUCUUAAUUUGAUUCCUGAUUAAAUAUUAAAAGUAAACGAAUUAAGGGGAGAUAACAGAUGACGCGACUGUUAGUUUAUAGCGUGUAUACUAUUGAUACUGUAAUAUUAAAAUACAACCUCAGUUAUCUCCCUUACACUAGCACUGUAAAGGUUGCACUUUGUAAAUACAACUGUUUCUCAAACCAUGCCUCUUUUUGGGAGAUUUAGAAUAUUCAUAGAAAAUUAAUUUUGUUUACAUACUGGUGCCCAGUUAUGCUCUCUGUGUUCCAUCUCAUAGAGAUAUAACUUGGGAAUGUUACCAGUAAAUCUACAUAACAGGCUAUUAUUGUCGAGCCUUCAACCUUAGUCGAAAAAGUGAGACUGAGCGAUCCUACAUUCUGUCCUUGUCGUCAGCAGCGGCGUCCACAAAUAUUCACUCUGUGGUUAAAGUUUUUGAAAUUUUAAUAACUUUCUUAAACUAUAUGGAUUUCAACCAAACUUGGACAGGCUUUUUAUGAUCAUAAGAAAGUGGUCCAGAAGUAAUUUUGUAAAAACAAAUUUUAUUUUUUCGUAUUUUACUUAUAAAUGGACUUAGUUUACUGCGAGGAAACAUUACAUUCACUCUGUAGUUAAGUUUUAAAAUUUUAUAACUUUCAUAAACUAUCAGAUUUGUACAAACUUGACAGAAGCUUUUAUGAUCAUAAGAUGAUCAAGAAAAAAUUUUGUAAAAAUAAUUUCCACUUUCGUAUUUGAACUUAUAAAUGGACUAGUUUUUUUCCAGAAACAAAACAUUCACUCUGUGGUUUAAGUUUUUUAAAUUUUUAUAAUGUUCUUAAACUAUCCUGGAUUUCUACCAAACUUGGACAAAAAUUUGUUUCUGACAAAGAUAUUAUCAGAAGUAAAUUUUGUAAAAAAAAAUUCACUUUUCCGUAUUUACUUAUAAUGGACUUAGUUUUUUUUCCAAGAUAACUUGCAUGCAGUCUGCUUAAAUUUAAACAUUUAUUAGAUUCAUAAACUAUCCUGGACUUUUACCAAACUUGAAAGCUUUUUUCAAUCAAAAGACAGUAAUGAGAGGGAAAUUUUUAUUGAUGUUUUUCCUCAUUUUUGUUGAGUCUGUGAUUAAUAGCAAAAGUAGGCGAGACACUGGUUCCGUGGAACCCAUUACAAUUUUAUACUUUGUUUUUGCACUCUACUUUAGUAAAAGUGAAUAGAAAUUAGAAAUUUUAACACAAGUUUAGACAAAAAGUUGGGAUUGAUUUGGGAUUUGGAUUAUUUUAGGAAUAGGGGCAAAGGGCCAAAUAGCAUUUUAGCUUUUCGCACAAUAACUGAAGUUUUAGUAUAUAGAAAUCUAUAAAUUUUGACACAAGGUUUAUGACCACAAAAGGAGUUGGGAUUGAUUUUGUGAGUGGGUUCUACAGUUGAAUUCGGGCCAAAAAAGGGCAAAAGCAUUAUCUGGUUUUCGCACAAUAACUUUGUUUAAGUAAAUAGAAAUCAAGAAAUUUAAACACAAGGUUUACGACCAAAAAGGAAGGUUAGUAUUGAUUUUGGGGAGUUGAGGUCUGAACAGUUUAGGAAUUAGGGCCAAAAAGGGCCCAAGUAAGAUUAUUCUUGGUUUUCGCAAUAACUUAGUUUAAAGUAUAAUAGAAACUAUGAAAUUUAAACACAAGGUUUAUGACCACUAAAGGAAGGUUGGGUUUGAUUUUGGGAGUUUUGGUCCCAAGUUUAGGAAUAAGGGGCCAAAGGGUCCAAAAUUGAAUUAGUUGAUUUCAUCAAAAAUUGAAUAUGGGGUCUUGAUAUGCGAAUCUAACUGUGUGUGAUUCGAAUUUUGGUCCCGUUUUUGGUUACAUAAAGGUCCAAAGGCCAAAAUUAACUUAGUGAUUUUAACAAAAUUGAUCCUUGGGGUUCUUUAAUAUGUUGAAUCUAAAAUACUUAGAUUUUUGAUUAUUGGCUGUUUUCAGUUGGUCCAAUCGGGUCACCAACUUUGUUUGAUUUCAUCAAAAUUGAAUAAUUGGGUUCUUUGAUAUGCAAAUCUCUGUGUAUGUAGAUUCUUAAUUUAGUCCCGUUCUUCAAAUUGGUCUACAUAAAUCCAAAGGGUCCAAAAUUAACUAAUUUGAUUUUACAAAAAUUGAAUUCUUGAACUUCUUUGAUAUGCUGAAUCUAAACAUGUACUUAGAUUUUUGAUUAUGGCCAGUUUUCAAGUUGGUUCAAAUCAGGAUCCAAAAUUAUUAUAUAAGUAUGUGCAAUAGCAAGAAAUUUUCAAUUGCUCAGUAUUCAGCAAUAGCAUGAAAUCUUCAAUUGCACAGUAUUGUGCAAUAGCAAGAAAUUUUUAAUGGCACAGUAUUGUGCAAUAGCAAGAAAUCUUCAAUUGCACAGUAUUGUGCAAUAGCAAAUAUUUUCAAUUGCACAGUAUUGCGCAAUAGUAAGAAAUUCUAAUUGCACAAUAUUGUGCAAUACAAGAAAUUUUCAAUUGAUUGGAGUUAUCUUUCUUUGUCCAAAAUAGUAGUUAAUCAAUUAAAUCAUUGUUUUAUACAAUAUACAAUUAUAUUCACUUUUACUAAACUGAUAAAUUAAAAAAUCUUUACCAUUAGUGAUAACAAGCACCUUUUGUUACAUUUAAAUAUUUUAUGAUGUACUUAAAUUAGUAGUUAUUGUUGCAAACUCCAUUAGAAAUUUGAAUUGAGAUCAGUUUUGAAAAAGGGAAAGGGGGAUGUGAAAAAAAAAAAUGGGGGUGGGGGGUUAAAUUUUUCAUUUCAGAUUUUCAUAAAUAAAAGAAAAUUUCUUCAAACAUUUUUUUGAGAGGAUUAAUAGUUCAACAAGUGAUUGCUCAAAGAAAAAAAAAGUAUUUUAAGUUCAUUAGACCACAUCAUUCUGUGUCAGAACCUAUGCUGUGUCAACUAUUUAAUCACAAUCCAAUUUAGAGCUGAUCCAGCUUGAAUGUUGUGUCCAUACUUGCCCUAACUGUUCAGGGUUCAACCUCUGCGGUCGUAUAAAGCUGCGCCCUGCGGAGCAUCUGGUUUGAACUUGGAAUUAUUUUUAAUUAUGGAAUUUGCAUAAUUUCUUGUGUUUAAUUUUUUUUAAUAAAUUCCAUGUUCAUUCUGUACCUUACUGUUCUGUGCUGUGCACAACACUUUCUGUUACAAAGAAGAUAGUACAUUUUCAAUACAAUGUACUGUGCUGCACACAACACUAUCUAUACAAAAUACAUUGAAAGGAAAGUUUUAUGAACCGCUCAAAACAUUAUAAUACCAAAUAAACAUGAAAUUUAUUAAAAAAUUCAAGCACAUGAAAUAAUGCAAAUUCCAUAAUUAAAAAUAAUUCCAAGUUUAAAUAAUAGCCUGUUACAUGUUCAUAUUGUUUACAUUGAAAUCUGUGGUAAUCCUUCAUUCGAGGUAGGAGUAGUUAUGACUUCACUUGGAUGAAAGGUUGUCAAAUUGACACUCAUACCACAUCUUAUAUCUAUGUGUAGAGUACUAUUGAUAAGGCUUUCAAACACCACCUCAAACUACCGGUUAACCGGUUAAUCAGUCGAACAUUUAUUCGAGUAACCAGUUAGGAAAAAGUGUACGAUUUGACAACACACUGGUAAUUUAAUUGUUGAAAAUAUGCCGCACAGCCCUAAUUUUGAACUUUGAUAAAAAUUGUAGUGCAUAUGAACAUUCAAUUCUAGGAUAAGAUUUUUUUCAAAGCUUCAUAGUAAAAGUGGUACAGUUUUAGCUGAAAAAGGAGUUCUAUGGGACAUUGCAUUGUCAAUAUUAACAGAAAUGCAACCUAAAGACUGUAUAUUCAAAAAAUCAUUCUGUGGAUUUUUUUUAUUUUAUAAUUUUCUGUGCAUUAGACUAUUCUCAUUCUAUGAAUACAAACUAAUAUCAGUGGCGGAUCCAGAAACUUUCAAAAAGGGUGAACUGAAUGGCUAAGAGGGGACCCACUCCAGUCAUGCUUCAGCGAUUCCCUAAAUGAUCAACCAACUUUUUCCCAAAAAGGGGGAAGGGGAAAGGGGGGGGGGGGCCUGGAAAACCCUCUUAAUCUGCCUCUUAAUAUGGAUUUCCUUGAUAGCAAUAACAAGAAAAUUCCAAAUUUUAAAAUAUUGUCAGUAACCAGUUCCACUUUGACAUGUGAAGUUAUGGGUUUUAAUCUGGAAAUAACACAAAAAAUGUUGAAAGUAAAGAUUUCUAUAAGGACUUAUCAUUAACCUUGAACAAUUCGGUAAAAAGUUGAAAAUUAAAUUUAUAUGCCUUGAAAUUAUUUUUAAAUGUUAACUGAGUUAACCUUUACCAAAUCAUUUAUAAAAUAUAAAAAUGUUGUAAGGACUGCGCCUACAAUAACCUCAUGGAUAGUUAGGGUAUUUUAAUGUUUAAGUGAAAACAAAACACAGGUCAUGCAAAAGAAGCUUAACAUUGUUCUUAGUUUCCUUGACUUAAAGUUUUUAUACAUCAAAUUUUAUUUUUUUUAUUUUUCAAAUUGCAAAUUUUUUCAAAUUUUCAAAAUCUUUAUUUGCACAGAAUUGUGCAAUAGAUUUGUUAGAUCUUGAUAUUUAUUUUGUGUCAGAAACCUAUACUAUGUCAAAAAUUUGAUCACAAUCCAAAUUCAGACAGAAUCAAGCUUGAAUAUUGUGUCCAAAUUUGCCACAACUGUUCAAGGUUCAACCUCUGCGGUCGCCGGUCAUAUCAGGCUAUACUCUAGGAAGCAUUUUUUUCAUAUUUAUAAUGAUACUAUCUUUGAAAAGGAAAAGGAGGAUUUAUUUUCAUGGACCUAUUCUUUUUGUAUUUGAUAAUGUCUCAAGAGCAUAUUUCCCUCUACAAGCAAAGGUUUAUUAUUUUUAUAAUUUCAAACAAUAUCCUCCAGUUUUUCAGAGUUAUUUCCCAUAGAAUAAUACUGUUCUGCUAAAUCUUCUUUACUAAUUGAUUGGUGAUCAUUGCAUGUUAUUUUCAUACUAGAAAUGUAAUUAAUUGUCAGAAAAAUGUGAAACAUUUUUAGUUUAUUGAUUGCAAACCACAUCAAAUGCACAUUAACAAAUACUAAUUUGCAACAACCUGUUUUUUUAUCGACAUAAAUGAUUACUUUUGAAUUAUUUUAAAUCACAUAAAUAUGUCUAUAUGCUGAAGGGAAGAGUGUUUCUUUGUGAAAUAUGAGAAAUUGAUAGGUAUGUCUGACCAGAAUUGUAAGUUUUAUGUAAUCAUUUAAGAGUUCUCAGGUGAAACUAAUUAAUGCCAGGUAACAGACAGGUAAUAAAUCUUAAUUAGUUUUGUGUCAAUUUUACACAACUUCUAAAAUACUUUAUCUUGUCUUAAAUAGUGUAAUUUGACUCUUAUUUUGAAAUGAAUUAAAUCUCAUGCAAUUUGUAAGUUACAAGUUCACUAUACAUAAAACUUUAACUCAGAAUCUAUGAAUAGAUCUUGUUUUGACUUUAUAACUGUGUGGAACAUAAAUAAGUAUAGGGAAAGAUUUUUGUGGUUUAAAGUAUUAUUUUUUUUUUAAUUUCAAGUUUUUAUUUAAAAACAGAUAAUGACUAGGCUUCUGACAUAAAUACAGACAAUUUCAGAAAAAAGGUUUACGAUGUCAAACUAAGUCUGAUAUCAAUGAUAAACAACUCUUACAGUUUGCUUUAACUUGUAAAAUUAACCAAGAAAGAGUCUAAGAUUUCAUAUUUUUUCUCCUAAUAAAAAUUUAAAGCAAUAAAUGCAAUGUCUGCUUUAAGAGAUGAAUAAAAUGAAUUAAUAAUGUAAAAAUAAAUGCCUAUCAGAAAAGCACAUCAGAUACAAUUAUUAUACAAUAUUGACUUAUCAUUUGUAAGUGGGAAUCUUUAGUUUCCAUGGAAACAAAAUGCUUAGGUUUGAAAGUAAAAGUAGAUAAAUAAGAUUACCUAUAGAUAUGAGGUCAGUUUGAUCUGCUAUCAUUGAUGGGAAGUACAAGUGUCUCAUCUGCAGAAAUAAUUACCAAACUGUUCAAUUGCCUCAGGUGUUUUAAAUCUAGAAAGGGAUAUCAAUGACCACAGUAGCAUUGUGGUCAAUAAGAAGUACUACUAUGGCUUAUACAAAUGUACCAGUAUAUAUAGAUAUAAGAAAAUGUGUACAAUACAUUUAUAGUGAGUUUUGCACAUUUUUAGUUUUUGUCGAGCCUGCAACUUUUGUUGCAGUAAGCUCAACAUAGGGAUAGUGAUCCGGCGGCGUCGGCGUUAGCUAACUUCUUAAAAGCUUUAUAUUUUAGAAGGUGGAAGACCUGGAUGCUUCAUACUUUGUAUAUAGAUGCCUCAUGUUACAAAGUUUCCGUCAGUCACAUGUCCAAUGUCCUUGACCUCAUUUUCAUGGUUCAGUGACUACUUGAAAAAAAAGUUCAAAUUUUUUGUAAUGUUGAAUUCUCUCUUAUUAUAAGUAAUAGGAUAACUAUAUUUGAUAUGUGCGUACCUUGAAAGGUCCUCAUGUCUGUCAGACAGUUUUCACUUGACCUCGACCUCAUUUCAUGGAUCAGUGAACAAGGUUAAGUUUUGGUGGUCAAGUCCAUAUCUCAGAUACUAUAAGCAAUAGGGCUAGUAUAUUCGGUGUGGAAGGACUGUAAGGUGUACAUGUCCAACUGGCAGGUGUCAUCUGACCUUGACCUCAUUUUCAUGGUUCAGUGGUUAUAGUUAAACUUUUGUGUUUUGGUCUGUUUUUCUCAUACUGUAUGCAAUAGGUCUACUAUAUUUGUUGUACGGAAUGAUUGUAAGGUGUACAUGUCUAGCGGGCAGUUGUUAUGUGACCUUGACCUCAUUUUCAUGGUUCAGUGGUCAAAGUUAAGUUUUUGUGUUUUGGUCUUUUUAUCUAAUACUAUAUGCCAUAGGUCAACUAUAUUUGGUGUAUGGAAAUAUUUUAUGAUCUUUAUGUCAGUCGCGCAGGUUUUAUUUGACCAUGACCUCAUUUUCACAGUUCAUUGCACAGUGUUAAGUUUUUGUGUUUUGGUCUAUUUUUCUUAAACUAUAAGUAAUAGGUCAACUAUAUAUGUUGUAUAGAAGCAUUGUAAGCUGUACAUGUCUGCCUGGCAUGGUUCAUCUGACCUUGACCUCAUUUUCAAGGUUCAUUGGUCUUUGUUUAGUUAUCUUGGUUAAUGUUAAGUUUAUGUGACAGUUGUUAUAAAGCUUAGCUUUAUACUUAGGACUAUCAACAUAAUAUCAAUGAUUAGUAUAGAAGGCGAGACAUUUCAGCGUGUGCACUCUUGUAUAAAUUUUGUACUUAUCCUAUAAUAACUAGCAAAAAUCUGCUAGCAUUAUUUGAAAGUAUUUCACAAAAUGCAUCAGUAAAUAGUAGAAGAAUAGUUCUGGACAGACUAUAUCAUUUUAGUGCUAAUGGGAAAUCAGAUUGCAACAUGGCUGUUACAUGGAUUAAUAUGAAUUAUACAUGCAAGAAGAAACAGUUCCAUAACUUUUUAGUAGAACAUGUUCUUUUGAACUUAAUCUCCUGAUUAUAAAACUAAAGAUGGCUACCUGGUAACCAUCACAAACCAAACCAGUAGGUUAUGCUGGAAAUAUGGAAACUAGCAUAACAGGUCAUUGGUUUUCUGUUCUGUAUUGUUCCUCAUUUUUUCUGGCCUUUUUAGCUUACUACAUGGUAUGGGUUUUGCUCAUUGUUGACGGCUGAACACUGACCUGUUGUUGUUUACAUCAUUGUACUUUCUUCUUUCAUUUUUUCUUUCUUUUGACAACCCUGCAUACCGUCAAUAUCCACUUAAGGAAUCUCUACCUUCACUAAACUUUAGAGGCGUUGGUUCAGCAGUCCGCCAUUUCUUCUUUCAUGGAUAAUUGUUUUCUUAUCUGCAAUUGAUACCACAUCUCAUUCAUUUGACCCACUCAGUCGUCCUUGUCUGUUAACUUUUACAAAUAUAUUCUCCUUUAGAACAAGAUGGCUCAGUCACCAAAAUUUCAUGAAAACUGCUCAAAAAACUUUUGGGUCAUUGUUCAAAACUGGAAAAUCCCCCUUUUCUAAUGAAAAUCUUGAUAUAAAGGUAAAAUCUAAAAUUUCCAAAGAUCAAAAGGAAGCUUACACCAAUACAUAUUGCCAAUUCACAAAAUGUUUCAUGAAAACUGCACAAAGGAUUUUUGGGUAUUGUCUGAAUGCUGGAAAAUCCCUCUUUUUCAAUCAAUAAACAUAACCCACUAUCUAGGAAAUAUUAAAUCUAAAAUUCAUAAAAAUUGAAAUGGUGCUUCCAUUAAUGCAAAUUGCUUAUAGUGUUUUUUUAGUUUGUGUCCGACAUGUUGAUGACGGACAGACAGAUAGAAAAAAGGUCUUGUAAAAGGGCUUAUAAAAAUAGACAAUAAGGUUUUGUCUUUUAUUUUUGCCUUGUAUAUUUAAAAUUAUAAUAGAUGGAUGCUUGAAUAUGAAAAAGAAAUUCAGCAAGACAAGACAUACAAAUAGGAUGAUAUGGAGGAAAUUGUCUGAAGAUUCAUUAUUGGAGUUAUUGCCCUUUUAGGAAGAUUUUUAUUAAUUUUUGGCGUUUUGCCUUCAAUAAUUUUUUUUUUUAGAUAAAUAGACACUUGAAAUCAUAUAAAACCAAGGCAAUAUCUACUAAUAACAAGUAAAAUUUAUCAAUAUAGUCAGUAAACUGUCACUCUUUGGAUGAGUGAUUGCCCUUUUAAUUAGGAUUUGACCAAAAACUAAAGAAGAUAGAGAGAAUCUAUAAAUGAGAAAAAAUUAACAGCAAUACAAGAAGAAAACAGAUUUUUGUGACGAAUUCGAUUAUCAUCUACAAUAUUGGAGGAUGUCCUUUUUAGCUCACCUUUCCAAAAGGAAAUGUAAGCUUUUGCCAUCACUUGGCGUCCGUCGUCGUCCGUCCGUCCGUCCGUCGUCAUCGUCGUAAACUAUUUCAAAAAUCUUCUCCUCUGAAACUACUGAACCAAUUCAAACCAAACUUCAUCUGAUUGAUUCCUAGGGUAUCUAGAAUAAAGUUUGUGUUUUAAUUCCCAUUUCAUCAAAAAAUAUGGCCGCCAUGGCUAAAAAUAGAACAUAGGGUAAAAUUGCAGUUUUUAGCUUAUAACUCAAAAACCAAAGCAUUUAGAGCAAAUCUGACAUGGGUAAAAUUGUUUAUCAGGUCAAGAUCUAUCUGCCCUGAAAUUUUUAGAUGAAUCGGACAACCCGUUGUUAGGUUGCUGCCCCUGAAUUGGUAAUUUUAAGGAAAUUUUGCUGUUUUUGGUUAAUAUCAUGAAUAUUAUUAUAGAUAGAGAUAAACUUUAAACAGCAAAAAUGUUCAGCAAAGUAAGAUUUACAAAUAAGUCAACAUGACCAAAAUGGUCAGUUGACCCCUUUAGGAGUUAUGGCCCUUUAUAGUCAAUUUUUAACCAUUUUCCGUAAAUCUUAGUUAUCUUUUACAAAAAUCUUCUCCUCUAAAACUACUGGGCCAAAUUGAACCAAACUUGGCAACAAUCAUCAUUGGGGUAUCUAGUUUAAAAAUUGUGUCCGGUGACCCGGCCAACCAACCAAGAUGGCCACCUUGGCUAAAAAUAGAACAUAGGGGUAAAAUCAGUUUUUGGCUUAUAACUCAAAAACCAAAGCAUUUAGAGCAAAUCUGACAGAGGUUAAAUGGUUUAUCAGGUCAAGAUCUAUCUGCCCUGAAAUUUUCAGAUGAAUCAGACAACCGAUUGUUAGGUUGCUGCCUCUGAAUUGGUUAUUUUAAGGAAAUUUUGCUGUUUUUGGUUAUUAUCAUGAAUAUUAUUAUAGAUAGAGAUAAACUGUAAACAGCAAAAAUGUUCAGCAAAGUAAGAUUUACAAAUAAGUCAACAUGACCGAAAUGGUCAGUUGACCCCUUUAGGAGUUAUGGCCCUUUAUAGUCAAUUUUUAACCAUUUUCCGUAAAUCUUAGUUAUCUUUUACAAAAAUCUUCUCCUCUGAAACUACUGGGCCACAUUUAACCAAACAUGGCCAAAAUCAUUAUUAGGGUAUUUAGUUUAAAAAUUGUGUCCGGUGACCCGGCUAACCAAACCAAGAUGGCCGCCAUGGCUAAAAAUAGAACAUAGGGGUAAAAUGCAGUUUUUAGCUUAUAACUCACAAACCAAAGCAUUUAGAGCAAAUCUGACAUGGUGUAAAAUUGUUUAUCAGGUCAAGAUUUAUCUGCCUUGAAAUUUUCAGAUGAAUCGGACAACCCGUUGUCGGGUUGCUGCCCCUGAAUUGGUAAUUUUAAGGAAAUUUUGCUGUUUUUGGUUAUUAUCUUGAAUAUUAUUAUAGAUGUAGAUAAACUGUAAACAGCAAUAAUGUAAUGCUUGGGGUAUACAAUGUUUUUUUAUACUUGCAUCAUAAAUUAUAUUAUGAACACGAGACAAACGAGACAUUUCAGUGUGUCCACUCUUGUUUUGCUUUUGAAGAAGAUAUGACAGAAUCGAAGCACAUUAAUAUAAAAAUAUAAAUUGAAAACCCAAAAUAAUCAUUCAUGGAAGAUUUAAGCAAAAAAUUUAAGGUGAGCGAUUCAGGCUCUUGAGAGCCUCUUGUUUGAAUAUGCACAUCAACCAAUGUGAGUGACAUAUGCUCUUUAGAGCCUCUAGUAUGUUUCUAUCACAUACAUUGUACUUGUAUAGUGAUGAUUCAACCUAUAAAUAUGUUUUAAAAUUGGUUAUAUUCUAGUCAAUUUCAGGUAUGUUUACAUCUUCUUCUCUUUAGAAAUUAACUCUGUUAAUAGGUCAAUUAAUGAUAGAAUAUUUAUAGAUGGUUUGAAGAGUAUUCUAUUGACUUUUUCUUUUACUUUUUAUAGGACUGCAAAAAUUAUUUUGGGAUGGUAUAAUGAUGUCGCCUGCAUCGUCAGAAGACACAUUUGAUGUUCAAACAAUAACUUUAGUUUAUGUGAAUGGAUUGCUAUGAAAUUUAAAAACUACAAAAUUAAGGUUGGGAUUGAUAUUGGGGAUGAUGAUCCCAAUGGUUUUGGAAAAAGGGGCCCGGAAGUAAGCCAGAACAAGCAUUUUUCUACUUUUAGGAUAUUAACUUGUGUAUAAUAAUAAUAAUAAUAAUAAUAAUUCUUUAUUUAAAGAGGGUUACACAGUUAGCUGUAAAGCUAAUCUUCCCUGAGGCCCUCAUGAAAUACAAUGAAAUAUAACAAACAAUUACAAAAUAUCAAACAGACACACAUACAUGAAUAAUGAAAUAAAAAAUUGUUAUAUGAAAUAUACAAUUUUCAAAACAGGUAAAAAGUUACAAAUUCAUAUAUGACAUGUAUAGUAUUGGCAUCAACAAUAUCAUAAGUUUGAGUAAGUGUGUGAAAAUUAUUAUCUAUACUAUUAAACGAGAAGACCUCAUUUUGGGUGUCGCUUCUCCUCCUUCCACAAUAAAUUAAUCAUCAUGCCUCUGUGUCCUAUAGGUAACAUGUAUAGUCGCAUUUGUCAUCCAUUCUUAUGGAUCAUUCAGUUGGGUUAUUUUGGGAUAAAAACGAAAAAGAAUGCGUCCGGAUAUUUUCCCGUCAUUGGACAAAACUUUAAGUCAGAUUAGACUUCCGGUUUGUGUUUUUCUGUACUUUGAACAUACAAAGACUAUGAAUAAAGUAUAUACAUUUUAUUUCUGCUGUCAUUUUGAGUUCUAGCAUGUAUCAUCCUUGCUUAACGUGUUUCAGUUUGGGUUAUUUUGGGAGGAAAACGAAAAUGAAUAUAUUUGCUAUUUACUAUCAAUUAGUUUACAGUGGAUCCAGAACUUUUCAUAAGGGAGGGGGCACUGACUGACCUAAAAGGGGGGGGGGCGUUCCUCUCAUGCUUCAGUGAUUCCCCAUAUAUAUAAUCAACAAAUUUUUUUCAACGAAAUGGGGGCAGGGCCUCCAGCCCCCCUGGGAUCCGCCUAUGGUUUAUAAUCAACGGCGGUCACUGCGGAUAUAUUUCUGUACAUACUUACAUGUAUACAUUUACUAUGAAUAACUGUAUUUGUUAUAAUUUACUAUAAAUUCCUUUUCUGUACCUUGCACAUACAAAGACUAUGAAUAAAGUAUAUAAAUUUGCUAUCUGCUAUCAUUUUGAGUUAGCAUUCAUCAUACUUGCUUAACGUGUUUCAGUUUGGGUUAUUUUGGGAGGAAAACGAAAAUGAAUAAUAUUGGCUAUUUACUAUCAAUUAGUUUACAGUGGCGGAUCCAGAACUUUUCAUUAGGGGGUGGGGGGCGUUCCUCUCAUGCUCCAGUGAUUCCCCAUAUAAUCAACAACAUUUUUACUAUUCAUGGCGUUCACUGAUGUAUAUAUAUAUAUAAUAUAUAUAUAUAUAUAUAUAUAUAUAUAUAUAUAUAUAUAUAUAUAUAUAUAUAUAUAUAUAUAUAUAUACUAUAUAUAUAUAUGUAAGUACCUUUGACUUUGAUACCUCUCCUGAAAUUCUCUGUAUAGUAAUUUAAUUAAAGUAUAUAUGCAUGUUCAUAGAGAACAGAAAAACAGAAGGUAUAAAAAUCGGUAUUUGGAAAAUAGGGGGAGGGCAAUAAAUGGGCCCAGUCCCUAAGUACCUUUGACUUUUGACACCUCUCCUGAAAUUCUCUGUAUAGUAAUUAAGUAUAUAUGCAUGUUCAUAGAGUACAGAAAAACAGAAGGUAUAAAAAUCGGUAUUUGGAAAAUAGGGGGAGGGCAAAAAAUGUGCCCAGUCCCUAAGUACCUUUGACUUUUGAUAUCGCUCCUGAAAUUCUCCAGUCAGUUAAUUUUUUUUACAGUUUACAUACGCUCUAUUCCCCGCGAUUUCGCGGGUGUGUUCUAGUGCAUUAUAAAAAACGCACAGCUUCUUAAUGUUCCAUCAAGUAAUUUUUUAAAAAUCUUUUUGAAUGAGCUUGUACUUGAGGUUGAUUUUCAGGGAUAUUGGUAAGUUAUUCCAUAAAAUAGAUCCUGAAUAUAUAAAAGAUUUCUUAUAAAGCUCUGUUUUGGCUUUUGGAACUUGUAAAUUUUUGCAAGAGGCAUUUCUCAAACAAUAUUGGUUUAUUUCUGGCAUUUCUUUAAACUUUUCAGUGAGAUAUACAGGGGCUUCAUUCUUAAGGCAUUUAUGCAUCAAAACUGAUUUGUGGUAUGAGAUUCUGUUCUCUACUGUCAUCCACCCAAGCUGUUUAAACAGUGGAGCUGAUGAUGAAAGUGGAUCAGCAUCUAAAAUAAGUCUUGCAGCCUUUUCUGCAAUUUUAUUAUUCUGACUAGCUCAUUUUUAGCACAACCACUCCAAAUAAUACAACAAUAAUCUAUCAGUGGGAGAAUAUAACCAUUAUAAAAUAAUUUUCUUAGAUCAAUAUUUAGAAAUUUCUUGAUUUUAGAGAGUAAAAAAAUUCUAGAUGAAAUUGAUGAACAUAAGUAAUUAAUAUGACCUGUCCAGACAGAUAAGAGUCAAUUCUAACACCUAAAAGUUUUUUCAAUUGAUGAUUUUUGAAGAAUAUUAUUAUCAAUAGUUAGAACUGGAUCUGCUUGAUUUAAACGCAGCCUUUGUCUUGUACCUAUAACCAUACACUUCGUCUUAUCCGAAUUUAUGAACAUGCUAUUUUCAUGACACCAUUUUUCAACACAUUGGAGAUCAUCUUGUACUUUUAAUUGCACUAGAACACACCCGCGAAAUCGCGGGCAUUCAGAGCGUAGUUUAAAGUAUCAGUAUGUAAAGUGUUGUUGGAAGAAUUUGUUAAUACAGAAUGACUGCGAGAAUUCAGCAAAAGUAUCAUAAGUCAUAGGUUAUUGGGGACAGGAAAAUGUUUUUUUUUACCCUCCACUUUAUUUCCAAAGUUCCCAAUUUUUGGUUUUCUAUUUAAUUUCAAUAUGAACAUACAUUAGUAUGUUAUGGACAUUAUUUAAGUAAGGAGCCUGUAAUUCAGUGGUUGUCGUUGUUUAUGUGUUACAUAUUUGUUUUCGUUCAUUUUUGUACAUAAAUAAGCCGCUAGUUUCUCGUUGCAUUUGUUUUACAUUGUCAUUUCGGGGCCUUUGAAGCUGAGUAUGCAGUAUGGGCUUUUGCUCUUUGUUGAAGGCCGUCUAACCUAUAAUUGUUAAUUUCUGUGUCAUUUUGGUCUCUUGUGGAGAGUUGUCUCACAUGGCAAUUCAUACCACAUCUCUUUUUUUUUUUUUUGUAAUCAAUGAAUUUUUAUAAAAGAUUUAAUGACUGGAGAAUUUCAGAAAAAGUAUCAAAAGUUCACAUGAAUAAUUUUUAGGCUUAUCUGUAUAUUAUGAACAUCAUCACUAUAUAAAUAAAGCGUAUUACUUUCAAUUCUAAGUUUACUAAUCGAUCCCAUGGUGAUCAUUGAUUAGUAUACAGACCUCUCUAUUUAAUAAAACUCUGUGACUGCCGUGGAUAGUAAACUGAAAAUGAUAGCAGAUAAAAUUUAUUCGUAGUAUAUGUAUGUUCAAAGUAUACAGAAAAACGCAAACCGGAAGUCUAUCUGACUUAAAAUUUCGUACAAUGACGGGACAAUACCCGAUGCCUUUUUUCUCGUUUUCUCCUAAAAUAACUCAAUCUGAAAAUCAUAUGAAUGGAUGACAAAUGCGACUAUGCACUGUACCUAUAGGACACAGAGGCGUGUUGAUUAAUUUAUUGUGGAAAGAAGAGAAGCGACACCAAAAAUGAGGUCUUCUCGUUUAUUAGUAUAGAUAUCACCAAUAGUCUUUCCUGAUGUAUGCAUAGUUGUGUCAUCAGCAUACAAGUCUGUAUGGCAGUUUUUGAUGUGUAAUGGAAGGUCAUUUAUGAACAAAACAAACAAAAUGGGACCAAGUAUUGAGCCCUGUGGAACACCAAAAUUUAUAAACUUUUUAUCAGAAAACUGAUUAUUUAUAUGGACUUACUGUGUUCUUUCACUCAAAUAUGAUUUUAAAAAAUCAACAGUAUCUUCAUGGAAGCCAUAAAUUAGAAGUUUUUUACAUAGAAUUUCAUGAUCAACAACAUCAAAAGCUUUCUUAAAAUCCAAGAGGACUGCCAAAUUGAUAUUUCCAUUAUUCAUUUCAUGUAGCCAUUUAUCAAUAAUAUUAAUGAGGGCAGUUUGACAUGAAUGGUUGGGUCUAAAACCAGACUGGGAAGGGUGUAAAAUAUCAAACUUUGUCAAAUAUUUAUACAGAUGUUUCGAUACAUGUCUCUCAAUUAAUUUUGAUAAUGUUGGCAAAACAGAUAUUGGUCUGUAAUUGCUAGCUACAUUUUUGUCACCAGAUUUGAAAAUUGGAGCUACUUUGGCAUUUUUUAAAACAGAUGGAUAAAUAUAAGUCUUUCAAUUGCUCUGAAAUUGUACCACAGUGUUUAAUACAACAAGUAUAAGGUUUGGAUUUAUUUUAGGGGUUAUUGUGCCAACAGUUUAGGUAUUUUAAGGGCCAAAAACGAGGCCAAAAACUACCAUUUUUGUAGUUUCUGGACAAUUACUUGUGUGUAAGUGUAUGGAUCUCUCUUACAUUGUACCACAAGGUUCCAUAUCACAAAAGGAAAGCUGGGAUUGAGUUUAGGGGUAAUUGCUUAAUUCAUGCCGGAAUUGGGGGCCAAAAAAGGGCCAAAAAUAAGCAUUUUUAUAUUUUCCAGACAAUAACUCGUAUUUAAAAAUCAAAAUAUUUUAAAAUUUUCAAGAAGAAUCUUUAAUUGCACAGUAUUGUGCAAUAGAUUUGUAAGAUCUUGAUAUUUAUUUUGUGUCAGAAACCUAUACUAUGUCAAACAUUUGAUCACAAUCCAACUUCAGACAGAAUCAAGCUUGGAUAUUGGAUAAUUUGCCACAACUAUUCAGGGUUCAACCUCUGCGGUCGUAUCAGGCUGCUCUCAGUGGAGCAUUUUAUUUAUAAAUUAAAAUAAUCUUUAUUGCACUAUAUAUUAUGUAAUAAUUUACUUGGCUUACAGCAUUUGGCUAAGUUUUCCUGCUUAUUAAUUAUAAGAUAUCUAAGGUGGCAGAAACCAGUUAUUUUACAAUAAAUCUAAAGAAAUAAGUUGACAUAUAUAUUGAUAUUCAUUUUCGUGUUAAGUAAAAUUGAAAAUGGAAAUGUGGAAUAUGUCAAAGAGACAACAACCCAACCAUAGAGUAGGCAACAGCUGAAGGCCACCAAUGGGUCUUCAAUGUAGCAAGAAACUCCUCAAAGUUGAUUUCUAAUUAGAUACAGCUCAUAUUGUCUUCAAUAGAUGAAAAUAACUUAAUCACAGUAUUUUGAAUAUUUUGAAAUAUAUAUUUACUAUUGUAACUACUUAAUAUAUAUUUUUUUUUCAGAUCAAAAAGUAACCCAGCAUAUGCACAAUACAAAGACUUAUGUGGCGAUGGUACUCCAUUUUGCUGGUUAUUCCCUUUUGGAAGUCGCAGGGCUGCACAAAAAUAUAUAAACACAGUCUAGCAUUUAUUGGAAAUAUUUAUGAAUUUCUGGCAUUGUAGUGUCUUGGAGUGUAAACUGUAAUAUUACAUGCAGCAGUUUAAUUUUUUAUUUCAAAUUGAAAUGUUCCACAAUAUUGUUGAAUACACCAGUAUCUUUUUCAGUUCACUUUGUCAACAUUUUCACAUGAUAUCUGUAUGUUCUUUGUAACUAAAAAUAUCUUGCAACAUCUUUGCUAGUUACUUUCAAAUAUAUCAAAAACCAUUCUUAGAAGACUACUGUCAAAGAUUGUUUAUGUUAUGGCUGUUAUUACUAUAAAAAUUACUUAGAAGAGGCGAAAACUUAGUAACCAUAGCUCUUUACAAAUAAAAAUAGUUUACAACAUGCCAUCAAGUACAGUGGUAGUACAGGGGGCGGGGUUUUAGGGGUAUUUUUUUUGGACGAUCAAUGCAUUUGAAUAGGGACAUUUGAUUGGAACACUCCCUCUUUAAUCCUGAGUUUGGACCCCCUGAACGGCUGGAUCAUGCCCUCAAGUAAUAUGGUAUGUGCUGGUGGUGCUAAUUUUCCCUCACUGUUACUUUAAAUGCCAAAAAUUUGUCCUUGCUUAAAAUAAUUAACAGCAUUGUAAUCAUUGGUUGUACAUGUUCCUAGUCUGGAUUUAAAGCAUUCAAUGCUGGAAUAUUACAAGUUUGUAAUGAAAUUGUUUUUAUGUACAUUUCCGUUCAUUUUUAUAAGCUCACCUGGCCCAAAGGGCCAAGUGAUCUUUUCCCAUCACUUUGCGUCUGGCGUCCUCGUCCGUCGUCGUUAACUUUUACAAAAAACUUCUCCUCUGAAACUACUGGGCCAAAUUAAACCAAACUUGGCCACAAUCAUCAAUGGGGUAUCUAGUUUAACAAAUGUGUCCGGUGACCCGGCAAACACAAGAUGGCCGCCAUGGCUAAAAAUAGAACAUAGGAGUAAAAUGCAGUUUUUGGCUUAUAACUCAAAAACCAAAGCAUUUAGAGCAAAUCUGACAUGGGUAAAAUUGUUUAUCAGCUCAAGAUCUAUCUGUCCUGAAAUUUUCAGAUGAAUCAGACAACCCGUUGUUGGGUUGCUGCCCUGAAUUGUAAUUUUAAGGAAAUUUUUCUGUUUUUGUAAUAUCUUGAAUGUUAUUAUACCCCCGCUUUAAAAAAGGGGGGGUAUACUGUUUACCUUGUCUGUCUGUCCUCCGUCAGUCCGUCCGUCCCAUGAAUAUUUUUCGUCUCAUUUUUCUCAGGAACUACAAUUCAAGGAUUUCUGAAAUUUAGUUUCAGGGUUUAUCUAAGUCAGCUAUACUGUGUGAUGCGUUUUCAGAUUGAUCACUUGACAACUUCCUGUUUCCCGAACACUUGUAUGAUUUUACACAUGAUAGCCAAGUUGAAAAUUUUCGUCACAUUUUUCUCAGGAACUACAAUACAAGGAUUUCUGAAAUUUGGUUUCAGGAUUUAUAUAAGUCAGCUAUACCGUGUGAUGCAUUUUCAGAUUCAUCACUCGACAACUUCCUGUUUACCGAACACUUGAUAUUUUUUACACUAUUAAUAUUAUCCACUUGCGGCGGGGGUAUCAUCAGUGAGCAGUAGCUCGCAGUUUCACUUGUUAUAGAUAGAGAUAAACUGUAAACAGCAAUAAUGUUCAGCAAAGUAAGAUUUACAAAUCAGUCAACAUGACCGAAAUGGCCAGUUGACCCCUUUAGGAGUUAUUGCCCUUUAUAGUCAAUUUUUAACCAUUUUUUCGUAAAUCUUAGUUAUCUUUUACAAAAAUCUUCUCCUCUGAAACUACUGGGCCAAAUUAAUCCAAACUUGACCACAAUCAUCUUUGGGGUAUCUAGUUUAAAAAAUGUGUCCGGUGACUUGACCAUGAAAUCAAGAUGGCCGCCAUGGCUUAAAAUAGAACAUAGGGGUAAAAUGCAGUUUUUGGCUUAUAACUCAAAAACCAAAGCAUUUAGAGCAAAUCUUACAUGGAGUUAAAUUGUUUAUCAGGUCAACAUCUAUCUGUCAUGGAAUUUUCAGAUGAAUCACACAACCCGUUGUUGGGUUGCUGCCCCUGAAUUGGUAAUUUUAAGGAAAUUUUGCUGUUUUUGGUUAUUAUCUUGAAUAUUAUUAUAGAUAGAGAUAAACUGUAAACAGCAAUAAUGUUCAGCAAAGUAAGAUUUACAAAUUAGUCAACAUGACCGAAAUGGUCAGUUUACCCCUUUAGGAUUUAUUGCCCUUUAUAGUCAAUUUUUAAUCAUUUUUCGUAAAUCUUAGUUAUCUUUUACAAAAAUCUUCUCUGAAACUACUGGGCCAAAUUAAUCCAAACUUAGCCACAAUCAUCUUUGGGGUAUCUAGUUAAAAAAUGUGUCCGGUGACCUGGCCAUCAAAUCAAGAUGGCCGCCACGGCUAAAAAUAGAACAUAGGGGUAAAAUGCAGUUUUUGGCUUAUAACUCAAAACCAAAGCAUUUAGAGCAAAUCUGACAUGGGGUAAAAUUGUUUAUCAGGUCAAGAUCUAUCUGCUAUGAAAUUUUCAGAUGAAUCGGACAACCCGUUGUUGGGUUGCUGCCCC